GAAGGCCUUCGGGUGUAAAGCUCUUCGCAAGGGAAGAAAGAUUACUCUCUAACAUAGAGUGAUUAUGACGGUACCUUGAUAAGAAGCACCGGCUAACUACGUGCCAGCAGCCGCGGUAAUACGUAGGGUGCGAGCGUUAAUCGGAAUUACUGGGCGUAAAGCGUGCGCAGGCUGUUUUGUAAGUCAGAUGUGAAAUCCCCGAGCUCAACUUGGGAACUGCGUUUGAAACUACAAGACUAGAAUAUGUCAGAGGGGGGUAGAAUUCCACGUGUAGCAGUGAAAUGCGUAGAGAUGUGGAGGAAUAUCAAUGGCGAAGGCAGCCCCCUGGGAUAAUAUUGACGCUCAUGCACGAAAGCGUGGGGAGCAAACAGGAUUAGAUACCCUGGUAGUCCACGCCCUAAACGAUGUCAACUAGUUGUUGGUAGAGUAAAAUCUAUGAGUAACGCAGCUAACGCGUGAAGUUGACCGCCUGGGGAGUACGAUCGCAAGAUUA
RNAcentral lists this ribosomal RNA (493 nucleotides) under uncultured Pseudomonadota bacterium. Its description in RNAcentral is "bacterial SSU rRNA". It matches the Rfam family "Bacterial small subunit ribosomal RNA", at positions 410 to 896 of the family's 1533-position model. Lineage: Bacteria; Pseudomonadati; Pseudomonadota. The record is from RNAcentral.